GCUGGGCGUGGUGGCGUGCGCCUGUAACCGAGCUACUACGGAGCAGGUAGUGUCGAAUGACUUGAGGUCGGGACUCCUGUCGUACGUCGACCUAUGUCGAUCGGGUGUCCACACUAAGUUGGGCGUCGAUAUGGUGAACUGAGGGGAACCUUCGUCCACCAGGUUGAAUAAAGAGGAACGUACUGGUCCAGGAUGGAAACAUAGCAGACAAAAGUUCCCGCGUCAAAUAGUAGUGGGGUAGCACUUGUGAAUAGGAGGCGUGCGACAGCCCGGUCAAGAUAGUUGAACCCGCUAU
RNAcentral lists this signal recognition particle RNA (295 nucleotides) under Paramuricea clavata. It matches the Rfam family "Metazoan signal recognition particle RNA". From Rfam's summary of the family: The signal recognition particle (SRP) is a universally conserved ribonucleoprotein. It is involved in the co-translational targeting of proteins to membranes. The eukaryotic SRP consists of a 300-nucleotide 7S RNA and six proteins: SRPs 72, 68, 54, 19, 14, and 9. The record is from RNAcentral. Lineage: Eukaryota; Metazoa; Cnidaria; Anthozoa; Malacalcyonacea; Plexauridae.